Molecule: ribosomal RNA, 613 nt
Filed under: uncultured Lachnospiraceae bacterium
Lineage: Bacteria; Bacillati; Bacillota; Clostridia; Lachnospirales; Lachnospiraceae
Description: bacterial SSU rRNA
Rfam family: Bacterial small subunit ribosomal RNA
Source: RNAcentral
ACGCUGGCGGCGUGCCUAACACAUGCAAGUCGAACGGAGUCGUUUGGAAAUCUCUUCGGAAGAUCUCACUUAUGGCGGACGGGUGAUAACGCGUGACAAUCUGCCUUUAAAGGGGAUAACAGUCGGAAACGUGCUAAUACCGCAUAAAGCAUCAAAUCGCAUGUUUUUGAUGCCAAAGGAGCAAUCCGCUUUUAGAUGAGCUCGCGUCUGAUUAGCUGGUUGGCGGGGUAACGGCCCACCAAGGCGACGAUCAGUAGCCGGACUGAGAGGUUGAACGGCCACAUUGGGACUGAGACACGGCCCAGACUCCUACGGGAGGCAGCAGUGGGGAAUAUUGCGCAAUGGGGGAAACCCUGACGCAGCAACGCCGCGUGAUUGAAGAAGGCCUUCGGGUUGUAAAGAUCUUUAAUCAGGGACGAAACAAAUGACGGUACCUGAAGAAUAAGCUCCGGCUAACUACGUGCCAGCAGCCGCGGUAAUACGUAGGGAGCAAGCGUUAUCCGGAUUUACUGGGUGUAAAGGGCGCGCAGGCGGGCCGGUAAGUUGGAAGUGAAAUCUAUGGGCUUAACCCAUAAACUGCUUUCAAAACUGCUGGUCUUGAGUGAUGGAGAGG